Molecule: ribosomal RNA, 331 nt
Filed under: Pseudomonas aeruginosa
Lineage: Bacteria; Pseudomonadati; Pseudomonadota; Gammaproteobacteria; Pseudomonadales; Pseudomonadaceae
Description: partial 23S ribosomal RNA
Rfam family: Bacterial large subunit ribosomal RNA
Source: RNAcentral
GAGCCUGCUUGUGUAGGAUAGGUGGGAGGCUUUGAAGCGUGGACGCCAGUUCGCGUGGAGCCAUCCUUGAAAUACCACCCUGGCAUGCUUGAGGUUCUAACUCUGGUCCGUAAUCCGGAUCGAGGACAGUGUAUGGUGGGCAGUUUGACUGGGGCGGUCUCCUCCUAAAGAGUAACGGAGGAGUACGAAGGUGCGCUCAGACCGGUCGGAAAUCGGUCGCAGAGUAUAAAGGCAAAAGCGCGCUUGACUGCGAGACAGACACGUCGAGCAGGUACGAAAGUAGGUCUUAGUGAUCCGGUGGUUCUGUAUGGAAGGGCCAUCGCUCAACGGA